Molecule: ribosomal RNA, 301 nt
Filed under: uncultured bacterium
Lineage: Bacteria
Description: partial 16S ribosomal RNA
Rfam family: Bacterial small subunit ribosomal RNA
Source: RNAcentral
CAUAGCCGCGGUAAUACAGAGGGUGCGAGCGUUAAUCGGAUUUACUGGGCGUAAAGCGUGCGUAGGCGGCUUCUUAAGUCGGAUGUGAAAUCCCUGAGCUUAACUUAGGAAUUGCAUUCGAUACUGGGAAGCUAGAGUAUGGGAGAGGAUGGUAGAAUUCCAGGUGUAGCGGUGAAAUGCGUAGAGAUCUGGAGGAAUACCGAUGGCGAAGGCAGCCAUCUGGCCUAAUACUGACGCUGAGGUACGAAAGCAUGGGGAGCAAACAGGAUUAGAUACCCCAGUAGUCCCUGUCUCUUAUACA